Molecule: long non-coding RNA, 3799 nt
Organism: Tympanuchus pallidicinctus (lesser prairie-chicken)
Lineage: Eukaryota; Metazoa; Chordata; Aves; Galliformes; Phasianidae
Exons: 5
Source: RefSeq, a predicted model, not a curated record
CUCCUCCACUCAGGGCUUUGCCCAGGAGCCCCAUGGGCAGGUGGUAAUCAGGGAGCUUCAAAGCAGCCGUGUGCUGCUGACCAGAGCAGCUGGGCGCUGAUGAAGAGGCACUGUUUGCUGGGUGGGCUUCUGGGCAGAGCAGGAUGCUGCAGUGCUCUGCUUUGUGCUCAGCAUUGUGGCUCCACAAAUCAGGACAGCCAGAGGCCAGGGAAGAUUUCUUCCAUUUCUUUUUACUUCACUCCAUUGCAUUUCUUACUCAGUUUUCUUGGCUGGAUCUAAACACUGGCGCUGGUGGGGUGUGUUUCCAGCAGGGAGCAAGGGGAGCUUGCAACCAGCAGGAGCUUUGCAGCACAGCAAGUGGCAGAAACUGAAACAUGUAAGGACAACACUGAGGAAGAAGAGGGAGAAAUUCAGCAAACUUUCUGGGUUGACACCAGGACUGCUACCAGAUCCCAUCCUCUUUUAUCUCGUGGGAGAGGGCUGUGCUUGCAGGCUGCUGCUAGAGGGCAUCAAAGCACAACGCAGCCCCUGACAGCUUCACUCGGGCUGCAGGGGGGUCGGAGGUCUUCAGCAGGACACGUUUGGUUUGCUCGGAGGACUGCCUGGUACCCACUGACAGCUGCAUGGGAUGAAGGAGGUUUGUGCAUGGAACACGUCUGAUACCGAUACAGCACAGGUCAAGUGUGUUUUAUAGGGAAAACAGUGGGAAGGAGCAAAACGUGGGAGCCUGGAGCCAGGAGGGUUUCCCUGGCAUUUGAAAAAGGAUGGAUUUUUUUUAGGAAGAUUCCCAUCCCACCUCAUUGUUCUCACUGCCCACAUCCCUCAGUGCCACAUCCCCAUGGAUCUGAACCACCCCCCAGGGACGGUGACCCUCCUGCUCCCUGGGCAGCUCUAUGGGAGCUGCUGAGUCACGGCCUGAACCUCAGAUUGAUCACCUGAGCAAGCACUGGGUCAGCCCUGGGAGCACAGCUGAAGGCCAUUCUGUGCUGAUGGAACAGGUGGAGCCUGGCUGCACCUCUCCUACAGCCAUUUAAGAGCUGGCCACAAGUGGGGAAGGAUCUCUUCUGGAUAUCCCUCCUGUGGAGUUUUGCAGCGAGCCCAGGACACAAGUAAGCAUUCUAUCUAUUUUCUUUUUGGUAUAAUAACUUGCUUAGCCAAACUCUCUUGUUUAUUUCGUAAUUAUAACAUCUGUGUAGUCAUUGAUUAUACAGUAGCCCUUUCUAUCUUUCUUGCUUUGGCUGGUGCUAGCAGAUGGUGAAGGAUGUGCUAUGCUUCCAGCAUUGCUACAUCUUCAAAGCAAAUCUGGGUUCUAACCCUGCAGGUCCACCCAGAAGCUGGGAGAAGCCUUCCUAGGAGCUCAGAACACAUUCACGUGUGUUCAGGGGUUAUUUUAGUAUUUCACCAAUAGACCAGGAAAUGGCUGCCCAUUCUCAAACAUGUCCUGAUCUUAGGUUAUGGGUGAGACCUACCAGCCCAGAAGGGAUAAACAAGUAGAGGUGUGUCAGAUUGAUGCUAUUGGUGAAAGUGUUGAUGUGUCCCUAUGCAGAUGUGCCAGAAGUGGUUUUGGUGAGGAGCAGUAAGCAGCAGCUCAACGUGUGAUGGGUGCAGCCUGUUAUAGGAGAGAUGCUGGCUGUUUGUGGCAGAAAAAUGCAACCCUGGACAAUUAAAAACGCAUUAAAUCCAGUUCAUUGGGCAUUGAGGGUAUUCAUCUCAUUAAAAUCCCCUGGCACAGAAGCUCAUGCAGGAUACUCUCAUGACCCCAGGAUGAAGAAAGGUUGCUGGGCUACCCCUGCAGGCACCUUAUCUAUUUUCCUACCAAACUCCUGCUGCUGCUGUUUGGAGGAUUUUGGUGUGGAGCAGCACUGCAAGCACAGGGAAACCAAGUGGUAGUGCAGCAAAACUUAAACAGAUCUUGAAGUCAAGCAGGGAGUCAUGGAAAGUAGCAAUCUUGGCACCACCGAAUGGAAGGCUGGGAGUGGUUCCUACUGCCAGCACCUUCUCAGCAGGGGUUGGACUCCAACUGGAUGUGCCUGCUCCCCAAAUCAGUGCAGUGCACUCGCUGCCUCUCCUUAUCAGCCCCGGUGCCGGCAGGCUCAUGCUGCAUUGGCCAAUAGCUUGAAAAUGAGAGGAAAAAGCCUCCUUGUCCAACUGCGCGAAUCCCCACCAGCAUCUUCCAGGAAGGGAUUUCUCCCCUCCAGUCUGAAGUGACUGUAAUGCCAGGGCUGCCCGCCCGUGCCUAAUGCUUCUGCCCACUGGGUCUGUGCUCACUGCCUGCCUUCUUGCUGCCCUAAAUGAGCCUUGUUAUGUGUCCUCUGCUUCUAUUUUUAUUAAAAAUCUGAUGCGUUGCCAAUUUGCCCUCUUGCCAGCAGCAGCCAUAAGUAUCCUCCAGAGAAAUAAACGGAGGCAGCCUUGAAUAAUCUACAAGCAGAGAUUAUUAUCUGGGUUACAUCCUUUAAAGUAUAUAUAGCUGAAAAGGAAGGGCUUGGUGGAUCUGGGAGGAGGUAAGAGAUCUCUGCUGUGAUUAACACCAGGGAAGUUUUCUUUACGCCCCUUGCUGCUCUGAGCAUGGGAGAAGAUGGGAUGCUCAUAAACCUCCCCAAAGUUGAGGUCCUCCUAAUGAUGCCCUACAGAAGUUCCUAGAUCGUGGUCUUUGACCAAAACAUCCAUUUUUAACACCAGGCAGCCAAAGAGGAUUCAUGUUAUUUCUGUGUUUUAGCUGUUUGAUUGAGAAAGAGAUGCUGAUGAGAUCUGUGUUCUUGUUAACCUUGAUUUCCAGAAGGAAAUAAGUGUAUGCCUUAUCACAAUAGCAGUUUUAAAGAACGAGCAAAUCUAAAUUAAUGAAAGCCGUACAAUCAGCCUGCUGGUAUAAAUCAUGUUAUUUUGUAGGAGAUGUUGACAGAUGACAUCCAAAAGUGUAGAAAAGAAGAAAACAAUCAAAGCAAGCCCUUUCCUGCAGCUCUCCUGGGAGGAACACAAUAUUUGGGAGCUGCAUCAAAUUUCCAUCUCGUAUCAUUCUAACUGUUCUGGGUAAUGGGCCACAAGUAGCCACUGACUUAAUGCUAGUAUGAGGAUGAAAUAUCCACGUAGGAAUUUGUCUUAUCUUCCUUGUAUUCCCAUUUAUGUCAUGAACUUCAGCUGCUCUAUCAGUUUUCUGCCAGUGUCGAUCCAUCCUGAAGGUCUUUCUGCAGAUCUGAGGAGCACCAUGGUCUCUGUCUCUCUCUCUCUAUUUUUUUUUAAACUGCUUUUUAAAGUGCCACUGUGUUCUUUUGGAGUCGUAUUAACCAUGCAAUAAAUUUGCAUAAUGUGGAUCCAUAAUGUUUAAUCAAAGCCUCUCUGGAAAGCAGUUAUUGUCCACGAGCUCUCAUAAAUUCCCACUAUCACCUCCAUGUUAAAUACUAAAGCUGCUCAGGGUGUAUUGUGCACUAAUCACCUGCAACAUUGAGUUUGAGAGAAAUUAUCCUUUUCCUCUCCCUUCUCUUUCCAUAUGAGCAACCUGAAAGCCCUGUGCGGAGGCAUUUUUAGCAAGAAGUGCUAACCUCUCCAGUUUUAAGUCUUCCUGGUGAAUCAUUUGGGUUAUUUGGCCCCACUGUGGUGAGCGAACAGAUGAUGUGUGCUCAGGCAUCUGCACUCCAGAGGUAGGUGGAGAGCUGAGCGUCAAACUUGUUUGCACUCAGAAAACGUAAGACUCAAUUAAUUCCUGGGUUUCUUUCUUCGUUAUUUAAUUCCCUUUAAAUGAGUUAGGCAGUGAAGCAUGAUAGGGGAGGCUGGUGAGCCACCAUUGCACCCAUGGAGUGAGCCC